RNAcentral lists this unclassified non-coding RNA (231 nucleotides) under Glomus sp. Its description in RNAcentral is "partial contains 5.8S ribosomal RNA and internal transcribed spacer 2". The stretch from base 1 to 65 matches the Rfam family "5.8S ribosomal RNA", at positions 84 to 154 of the family's 154-position model. The record is from RNAcentral. Lineage: Eukaryota; Fungi; Glomeromycota; Glomeromycetes; Glomerales; Glomeraceae.
GUGAAUCAUCAAAUCUUUGAACGCAAAUUGCACUCUCUUCGGAGAGUAUGCCUGUUUGAGGGUCAGCCUAAAAAAAAUCGACAUAGUUGCUGUUACGCGGUAACAUUCGUCGGAAAGGGGGGCAUCGGAAACCUUGGGGGUUAAGCGGCUUAAAAGUUGCUUGACGAGUCCAAGAACGUUUCUAAGAUUUUAGGGGCGGUGACGUGGAAGGGAGCGAGCGGGAGGAGACGG